RNAcentral lists this unclassified non-coding RNA (220 nucleotides) under uncultured bacterium. Its description in RNAcentral is "contains 16S-23S intergenic spacer region". The record is from RNAcentral.
ACGAGAUCCCUUUUUUGAUCUUCUCACCCUGUUGUGUAUUCUGAAAAAUUAUCUUUAGAUCCCUCCACCACAAAGAGUCCUUAUUACUGCAUAAUGUAUAAUAUAUUAUUAAGAUAAACAAAAACAGUACAAGUGGUACUGAAUGAAAAGAUAAUACAAACCACCUUUAAUCCCCAAACCACCUUCCUCCUUAGGUAAGCAAAUAGCUUCCCAUUUUACC